AGUGGCGGACGGGUGAGUAACGCGUGAGAAUCUGCCUUGGGGUCGGGGACAACCACUGGAAACGGUGGCUAAUACCGGAUAAGCCGAUUGGUGAAAGAUUUAUUGCCCGAAGAGGAGCUCGCGUCUGAUUAGCUAGUUGGUGAGGUAAGAGCUCACCAAGGCAGCGAUCAGUAGCUGGUCUGAGAGGACGAUCAGCCACACUGGGACUGAGACACGGCCCAGACUCCUACGGGAGGCAGCAGUGGGGAAUUUUCCGCAAUGGGCGAAAGCCUGACGGAGCAAGACCGCGUGAGGGAGGAAGGCUCUUGGGUUGUAAACCUCUUUUCUCAGGGAAGAAGCUCUGACGGUACCUGAGGAAUCAGCCUCGGCUAACUCCGUGCCAGCAGCCGCGGUUACGGAGGAGGCAAGCGUUAUCCGGAAUUAUUGGGCGUAAAGCGUCCGCAGGUGGCGAUUCAAGUCUGCUGUCAAAGCACGGGGCUUAACUCCGUAAAGGCAGUGGAAACUGAAUAGCUAGAGUGCCGUAGGGGUAGAGGGAAUUCCCGGUGUAGCGGUGAAAUGCGUAGAGAUCGGGAAGAACAUCGGUGGCGAAAGCGCUCUACUGGACGGCAACUGACACUCAGGGACGAAAGCUAGGGGAGCGAAUGGGAUUAGAUACCCC
RNAcentral lists this ribosomal RNA (658 nucleotides) under uncultured bacterium. RNAcentral's name for it is "bacterial SSU rRNA". It matches the Rfam family "Bacterial small subunit ribosomal RNA", at positions 94 to 788 of the family's 1533-position model. The record is from RNAcentral.